This is an RNA transcript of Daphnia magna, 989 nucleotides long. It is a transcript of the gene named DNA polymerase theta-like, with no coding region annotated. The transcript has 3 exons. NCBI's taxonomy places the organism in Eukaryota, Metazoa, Arthropoda, Branchiopoda, Diplostraca, Daphniidae. The record is from RefSeq and is a predicted model, not a curated record.
GCAUAUGCCAGGUGGCAUAUGAGUAGCAUAUUUCUAUGAAAUCUUUUUAUGGCUGUCUGCUGUCUGCUUAACUGGGCAUUGAUGGCAGGUUAAUUUUUAAAAAGUUUGUACUUCAAAUAUAGGAACUAUCUUGCUUUCGGCGGAUUAUUCUCAGUUGGAACUUCGAAUAUUGGCGCAUUUGAGCGAAGACGCAGGUCUUUGUUCUGUUCUUAGCCAACCCGAUGGCGAUGUUUUCCGCGGCAUUGUAUCGGUUUGGAAAAAGAAAAAGCAAGAAGAAGUCAGAGACGAUGAAAGGCAAAAAGCGAAACAAAUCUUCUACGGGAUUGUUUACGGCAUGGGAUGUAAAAGUUUAGCCGAACAGUUGGAAGUCGGGGAAGAAGAGGCUCAACUCUUUGUUAACACUUUCCACGCAAGGUAUCCUAGUAUACAAAGCUUUAUAACAAACACAGUUAACCAGUGCCGCACGAAUGGAUUUGAUGAUGUUGAUGCCUAAUUUUCUUGACAGGUCAACCGAUGUGGAAAAAAAUUCAGGAGGAAAAUGAAUUGAACUGCUGACAUUGGCCUAUUCUGGAAUACAUCAGUUUGCAUCAUAAUCAGAAAGGACAAGAGAAGGAAAACGCUGGAACUGUGUGCUACAAUCAUGAUUCUUCUUAUAUUCUCCUCCGCUGGAAAACGAUACUUUAUUGUGUCAUGACCAAGAUGCUUAACAGGCGUCGGAAAAAAAAAAAAAGAGGUUUGUCUUCCAACAAAUGAAUACAGACUUACUUGACUCCCAAUUACAACUCGAAAGGUCAAGCGUUGGAAUGGGAUUGGCACCCCAUUGCAAUGCAAGACUGAAUAGAGAGGUAAGAGCCCUCAGCUGAUGUCACGAUGUGGAUCAUAUAGUACAGCAAUAUGAUCUCCGUCCGGGCAGGUCUGGAGGUUACUCGAUAGCAAGUCAAUCAAGUGCUUAGCGCAACCCUUUUUUUUUCUUUUUUUUUUCUUUUUUU